This is a long non-coding RNA of Pelodiscus sinensis (Chinese soft-shelled turtle), 5601 nucleotides long. RefSeq lists it as uncharacterized. The record is from RefSeq and is a predicted model, not a curated record. NCBI's taxonomy places the organism in Eukaryota, Metazoa, Chordata, Testudines, Trionychidae.
GCCACCAGAUGGCAGCAGAGGGACUGGGGAGACUCAUUUCUGGCGCGGCAUACGGGAAGUAGCGGGGCGCUGUAUGCAGGGCGAUCCCCUCUAUAGGGAAAACUAGCGACUCCUCCCUCCCUCUGCGAGGAAGCAGUGGGGCUGUGCGCGUGCAAAUUACAGGAUGAAAUGGCUGUGUCUGAUAGAGGAGGAAAGGACGGAUCAGAGGGAGCAAAAGGAGGGAAGCCAGCCGUAUCAGCUAGAACACCUGUGUCCAAAGGAGGAUGAGCCCAGUCUCACAGUUGUAGGAUCUAACAAAAAAAGACACUGGUAUCUGAACUACUCAUGGAGUGACUGAAAACAACCCAACACAGAAGACCCUGCCAGGUUUUAAGUGUUUCAGUGGGGAACGAAAAGCUGUCCAGAAGAGCUAAAUAUUAUUGUUUGAAAUGUAUAAUGUUCAUAAAGUGAAAAUAAACUCUGAGGGGGAAAUCCUGGCCCCACUGAAAUCAAAGAAAGUUUUGCCUUUGACUUCAAUGGAUUCCACCCUAAAAAGAAUACCAAGGUGUUUAAAAAAAUGAGAUGCAAAGCCAAGAGAUUAACAUCACUGUGAAACUUAAAACAAACCCCAACACUGGGCAGGCUGGAAAUACUAUAUUAAGGUUUUCUGGAGGCUUUUGCUGUGUCCACCAAGCUGCCUCCCAAAACCCUGAGACCAGCCGGGUCUACAUGUGCCAUGCUGCACCCAGAGCUUUCCAGCAGAGUGCAGGGUGUGAGAAUGGCACAUGGCAGAGAACACGGGAAUCCAGGCGUCAAGCAGGGAUCUCGGUUUCUUUGAAUGAAUUGUUCCUAAUCAGGGCAAUGGGAGUAGCUCGACACCCCCAUACAAUGGUCUGUAUAAAACCACUCUCUAGUCAGAGGGUUUGCUGAGCAGGAAGGAGUUAAAUAGGGACAAGUAAAGAGAAUUGAUGCAACCUGUGUGGGGAGGCGGGGAUUGCUUGGGCCUGGCUGCCCAUGUGACUGUCACCACCAGGGGGCGGUGAGCCUUUGCUAGUUCUGCCUGGUUGGUGUUAGUCGGCAACACCCACGCCAGCUGCCCCACCUUUCCUCUUCCCCAGCUAGCAAGGCAAAAAAACUUUCCCAUUUCCAGCAACUCCAGACAGUGCAGGUCCCAGGCUGGAAACGCGACAAGGGACCCACGCCUGAGAGAGGCUGGGCGCUCAGGGAGGUGUCAGCUCUUGCAGAAUUACAGGUGUUUGAACUCAGGAGCCAAAAUUGCAAUCAGAAGCGUAUCCCAAUGAAGGGAAUGUGCUCUGGAGUGGCUUGCCACCUACAGAAAACAGCUCUCCGUCAGCCCCCACAAGCUAUAGGGCACAGCCGUCUGUCAGCUCCCACAACCUAUAGGGUACAGCCCUCCGUCAGCCCCCACAACCUAUAGGGUACAGUCAUCCGUCAGCCCCCACAACCUACAGAGAACAGUCCUCCGUCAGCCCCCACAUCCUACAAGGCACAGCUCUCUGUCAGCCCCCACAGCCUACAGGGCAUGGCCCUCUGUCAGCCCCUUCUAUGAGCAGCUGCUGCAGAGCUGAGAAAUGGAUGGAAGCAACCAUGAAGCUGGAGAUCCAGUGCUAGGGGCUGCCUGGGCAGCAUGCAAGCCUGAAGUGGGGACUUCCUUGCAGGAGAGCUGCCAAGAUGCAAAUCUAAAGGAGACCAUGGAACUGAGUAAGACAAGGGCAUUGCUUAAAAUGUGGACAGAGGCAAUAACAAUACCAAUGGGAAGGGAGAUCGGCUACUGCAGAAUCUGCUCCCGUGUCCAUGAUGUUGGGCCGUGCUACGUCCUGUCCCCAACCAAUUGUCCCAGCAUGUAUCCCUCUGGGACACUGUGCUCAGUCUCCUCCCACCCCCUGAGCUCGGCUGGAGGGGCCAAGGCUCAGCAUCUCUCCAUCUCAGAGCCCUAGAUACAAGGGAUGUAAUACAUAGUAUAGUCGAUUAACCAAUUAAGCAAUAAGCAAAAGCUUAUAGGUUAAUGCUAUAGACUACACACAUUUCCACUGGCCAGUAAAUUUAGCAGCUCAGCUCAUUCCUGACUAGCGACAGGUCUGGGACCUACCCCGCUGCAGCUCUGCAUUUAAAGUGUAUUAGGAGCCAGGCAGACAAGCAGCCUGGCUCAGUCCUGGCCCGCACCGGAUCCGGGACCUACCCCUGCUGUGGCUCUACAUUUGACGUGUAUUAGGAACCACGUGGGCAGGCAGCCAAGCUCAUUUUCGCCUCACACCAGGUGCAGGAGCUCAGACGUCCCCUAGACAGGGGCUGUUGCCAUCCUGUGCUGCUGCCUCUUUAGCAGAGGCAGCAGCAUUGGGCGACAGGCAGCCAGUCCACAAGGGGAGCUUGGCUCCUCAGGAGCAAGGCCAGAGCGCACCAGCUGCCGGCCCCACCCCCGGGGACUAUAGACUAGUCGACUAACCAAUAAGAAUUCAUGAGGUUACUCGACUGUUCAAUUAACCGAUAUUUAACAUCCCUGCUAGAUACCACGGGCCGGAUGUGCCAUUCCCCUGUUGCCAUCUGCAGGGCUGGUAGAAAUUUGUAGCCUCUUUGCACUGGUGGAAACAGCUGCCCAAUCAGGUGUUUCCCCAGCUCAGUCCUGUAAGUCCAGCUCCCAAAUGGCCAGGGGUCAGCCGGUGCCACCAGACAUCUGUGCUUAAACCCCCACUGCUCCCUUUAGCCCCUGAAGGACACCGUUCUGCACAUGGAAUGCUCAAAGCCUUGCUAGGGACACGGGGAGAGGAAUAGCAGCAGCUGUGCAACACAUCAUAAGAUGCAAUCCUGGUCCCCCUCUCCUUAUCUGCCACUCACCCCUUGCCAGGUGGGUCUGGCAGCCUCACAGGCAGCCAUGAAAGUAAAUUAGCAUUUCUUACAGGGACUGUCCUAUUGCAACCCGGGUUCCUGCCAGCUCUUUAAAUAGCUCCCUGCUGGCUUUUGCCGGUGCUGCACAACAGGGUGCACCCACUUACUUUCACCUCUGCUCUCAGGUAACAUUCAGAGCCACUGCACAGCUUUCUAAAGACAACUCCUUAACCCUGAGCCCCUCCCAGCUCCCCAGAUGACUCCAUAGGUUUCCAAUCCAGAUAUUCUUUCAACGCACUCCCCAAGUCAAAGGAAGGGUAGCCUGAGGCCGGGAGACCCAUGGAAUCACUAGGGCGAUUCCAGUACUUGCACGUUUUUAAAACAAUAAUUUAAAGUAACAUAAUGCGUUGUUGUCAGGCAGGUUUGAGCCACACUGGAUCCACCUCCCCGGCUUAAAACUCAGACAGGAUGAAUCCUCCAGCAUCUCAAAUGCUGGGAAGGUGGGUUUUCUUUGCAAAUCCAGGGCAUUGUUGCAGGCAAAUAGUAAAUACAAACAAUUUUAGUGGGUCACCCCCGGUUAUGUGUCAGGCUCCCUUUGUAACAAGAAUGGUUUGUGCAUGCUCACCCACACACACCUGUGCAUCCCUCACUAUACCUCAUCCCAUCCAGCUACCCUUCCGCUGUGCCGCACCUUACUCCAGGGCAGCUACAGACUAUGGUGCUCUGUAGCAUCAGACAAAGCCCUGGCUGGGUUGACCUAGUUGGGAUUGGUCCUGCCUAGAGCAGGAAGCUGGACUUGAUGACCUCCUGAGGUCUCUUCCAGCUCUAUGGUUCUAUGAUUCUAUGAUCAGUAGCUCACGUCUGGUACAAGCUUCCUAUUGGAGUUCUGACUCACAGCAAAACACCCACCCAGGAGCCCUGCUGAAAGGCAAAUCAGUCUGCUCCCAAAGGACCCCUGGAACCAGGUUCUGUUCUCAGGGUCACACUGUAAAUCAGGGUCACCUGCACUAUUCCCUGUCCCUGCAUAGUCCAAAGGCAACCACACCUCAGGCUAGCCAGGCCUGGCACUGUGGCUGGUCCCUGUGAUCUUGCUCUGGAGCCCCAGAACAGCUCUCUCCAAGCACCCUGGUAGCUCUGCUGUCCUUCAGGGUCAUGCAGGAUGCCCAGACCAAGAGGUAGAGCCCUGCAAAUCCAUGGAUAUCCACUUUAUAUCGGCCACUCAUUUUUGCAGAUGUGGAUACAAAAUUUUGUACCUGUGCAGGGCUCUCCCGAGGGGCAAUGUCUGCUCUGCACAGGGUCUCCCAGGCUGGAACAAUUUGAUCUCUGAGUAAUUUGGAAACCAGCAAUAAACUGGAGAAGAAACUGGUUUGUUCUUCUCAGGUGGCUUAGGAGAGAGAAGCCUGUGGGAUGGGUGUGGAGGCCUCUGAAGUGACUCAGCUUGCACCAGGGCGGCUGUGAAUGGAGGGUGAAGCCAAAAAUCUCAGCCAGUCCUCUUAGGCUUUCAGGCCCAGAUACCUGCCAGUCCAGGGUCCAAAGUCCAACCCAUUCAGGAUCAAAGCAGAGGACAAAUCACACAGCUGACUCAUUCUGCCUGCUUGAAGAAAAGGCCCCAAUGGGUUGGGUGCCUCACCCUCCUCUCUUUUCUCCCCACCACAUGCUGCCUCACCUCACAGCUGCUGUCCUCCCCUCCCCGUAGGCCAUGCCCCUGGGUUCUGCUCUGUGAUGUGCUUUCCAAGCAUUAUGCAAAGCCUGGUGCCACAGCACUGGGAGCGCUGAGGAGGGGAAGGGCAACUCCAUGUCAUGGCAACUCUUUCUGCCGAUGGCAGGGAAAAGGUUGUGGAUUCCCUGCGCCCCCAGCAGAGACCACAGGAGAUUUCCCCGGGGAGAUGAGCAUGAAGGCCUUUGGCCAGGGUAAUACUGGGAGCACCAACGUGUGAGAGUUCACAGACCUUUGUCCAUCUCCCACUAGGGGACUCAGCGCUAGCAAAGGCUUAGCUAGCUCCACAAGGGGAAGGUUUCAAGCGAGCACAGCAGGGCCCGCCCCUCCAGCCUGGCAAAGGGAACCCCUGCAGCCGUCCUGUACAGCAAUGCCAGCCACGUGGCCCCCGAGCUGAUGCUGCUAUUCUCAGGUUCCCCACAUGUUUCAGCUCUCGAUAUUUUUAGAUGCAUCUGCCCUACACACAGGCCUUCUGCUGGGCUCAUGCUCCACGAGGAGACCAUUAUUCCUCCCCUCGGCAAACAAACGCAACCCACGGGCUGUGAAACAAACCACUGCGCCUGAGUCUUGUUGGGGCUUUGCAAAGGUGCCCUCCAGCUGCAGCUCCCUAGCUCCCCACACACGCACUGGGGCAUGCUGCAGUCCCUCUGCCUCACAGGAAAGGUGACAAAGUCUCAGCCCCUAAAUCCUGGCCUCCAGCCCUGCUCCUUUGCCCGCCUGUUGCACAUGUCAGACAUUUCAGCUCCUCCUCCCACACAUCCCAGCCCCUACAGAACCACACAAGGGACUGCCUUUAUUUCCAUGCUGGGCUGUGAAUACUCAGCUUCUGAAGAAUCCUCUUGUGUCCCAUGCAAAAGGAAGGGUCCCAAGCAAACCAACAGCAGCCAGGCAGCUGGGGUGCUAAGCCCAUUGCGUGUACUGACCCAGGCUGUUCCCCUAUUGGUCUGCCCCCUGCACCACUUCGUAUUCAGGUUUGAGCUCUGUCGGGAAGGGACCGUCCUUGGCCCGUGUUCAUCCAGUGCCUAACAAUGGCGGGGGGAGGCUGGCUCCAAGUGCCUCCA